Molecule: non-coding RNA, 31 nt
Filed under: Homo sapiens (human)
Lineage: Eukaryota; Metazoa; Chordata; Mammalia; Primates; Hominidae
Source: RNAcentral
UGCUCAUUGUGAAAGCAAACACAGAGGGAGU